Molecule: ribosomal RNA, 330 nt
Filed under: uncultured bacterium
Lineage: Bacteria
Description: bacterial SSU rRNA
Rfam family: Bacterial small subunit ribosomal RNA
Source: RNAcentral
CCUGGCUCAGAGUGAACGCUGGCGGUAGGCCUAACACAUGCAAGUCGAACGGCAGCACAGAGGAGCUUGCUCCUUGGGUGGCGAGUGGCGGACGGGUGAGGAAUACAUCGGAAUCUACUCUGUCGUGGGGGAUAACGUAGGGAAACUUACGCUAAUACCGCAUACGACCUACGGGUGAAAGCAGGGGAUCUUCGGACCUUGCGCGAUUGAAUGAGCCGAUGUCGGAUUAGCUAGUUGGCGGGGUAAAGGCCCACCAAGGCGACGAUCCGUAGCUGGUCUGAGAGGAUGAUCGGCCACCCUGGAACUGAGACACGUCCGGGACCCCAAGGG